AACUACAUAUCAAUAAGCGGAGGAAAAGAAACCAACAGGGAUUGCCUUAGUAACGGCGAGUGAAGCGGCAACAGCUCAAAUUUGAAAUCUGGCCCUCGGGUCCGAGUUGUAAUUUGUAGAGGAUGCUUUUGGCGAGGUGCCUUCUGAGUUCCCUGGAACGGGACGCCUUAGAGGGUGAGAGCCCCGUACGGUUGGACACCGAGCCUCUGUAAAGCUCCUUCGACGAGUCGAGUAGUUUGGGAAUGCUGCUCUAAACGGGAGGUAAAUUUCUUCUAAAGCUAAAUAUUGGCCAGAGACCGAUAGCGCACAAGUAGAGUGAUCGAAAGAUGAAAAGUACUUUGAAAAGAGGGUUAAACAGCACGUGAAAUUGUUGAAAGGGAAGCGUUUGCGACCAGACCUCUUCCUGGCGGAUCAUCCGGUGUUCUCACCGGUGCACUUCGCCAGGUCGAGGCCAGCAUCGGUUUUCGUAGGGGGAUAAAAGCUCUGGGAACGUAGCUCCUCCGGGAGUGUUAUAGCCCUCUGCAUAAUACCCUUACGGGGACCGAGGACCGCGCUUCGGCAAGGAUGCUGGCAUAAUGGUCGUCAACGACCCGUCUUGAAACACGGACCAAGGAGUCGAACAUUUGUGCGAGUGUUUGGGUGUUAAACCCUCACGCGUAAUGAAGGUGAACGUAGGUGAGAGCCCUUGCGGGUGCAUCAUCGACCGAUCCUGAUGUCUUCGGAUGGAUUUGAGUAAGAGCAUAACUGUUCGGACCCGAAAGAUGGUGAACUAUGCGUGGAUAGGGUGAAGCCAGAGGAAACUCUGGUGGAGGCUCGCAGCGGUUCUGACGUGCAAAUCGAUCGUCAAAUCUGCGCAUGGGGGCGAAAGACUAUCGAGCAUGCUAGCGCCC
Molecule: ribosomal RNA, 890 nt
Filed under: Rosellinia mearnsii
Lineage: Eukaryota; Fungi; Ascomycota; Sordariomycetes; Xylariales; Xylariaceae
Description: eukaryotic LSU rRNA
Rfam family: Eukaryotic large subunit ribosomal RNA
Source: RNAcentral